This 460-nucleotide ribosomal RNA is filed under the name uncultured bacterium. Its description in RNAcentral is "partial 16S ribosomal RNA". It matches the Rfam family "Bacterial small subunit ribosomal RNA", at positions 338 to 795 of the family's 1533-position model. The record is from RNAcentral.
CCUACGGGAGGCAGCAGUGAGGAAUAUUGGUCAAUGGACGCGAGUCUGAACCAGCCAAGCCGCGUGCGGGAAGACGGUCCUAUGGAUUGUAAACUGCUUUUGUCGGGGAGCAAAAGAAGAUACGCGUAUCUGUCUGAGAGUAUCCUAAGAAUAAGGAUCGGCUAACUCCGUGCCAGCAGCCGCGGUAAUACGGAGGAUUCGAGCGUUAUCCGGAUUUAUUGGGUUUAAAGGGUGCGCAGGCGGUCAGAUAAGUCAGAGGUGAAAUUGCGGGGCUCAACUUCGUUGGAGCCGUUGAUACUGGUCUUCUUGAGUGAGUGAGAAGUAUGCGGAAUGCGUGGUGUAGCGGUGAAAUGCAUAGAGAUCACGCAGAACUCCGAUUGCGAAGGCAGCAUACCAGCGUUCAACUGACGUUCAUGCACGAAAGUGUGGGGAGCGAACAGGAUUAGAUACCCCGGUAGUC